GGGGCUGAUUCUGGAUUCGACGGGAUUUGCGAAACCCAAGGUGCAUGCCGAGGGGCGGUUGGCCUCGUAAAAAGCCGCAAAAAAUAGUCGCAAACGACGAAAACUACGCUUUAGCAGCUUAAUAACCUGCUCUGAGCCCUCUCUCCCUAGCUUCCGCUCUUAAGACGGGGAUCAAAGAGAGGUCAAACCCAAAAGAGAUCGCGUGGAUGCCCUGCCUGGGGUUG
Molecule: transfer-messenger RNA, 224 nt
Filed under: Klebsiella pneumoniae
Lineage: Bacteria; Pseudomonadati; Pseudomonadota; Gammaproteobacteria; Enterobacterales; Enterobacteriaceae
Description: partial transfer-messenger RNA
Rfam family: transfer-messenger RNA
About the family: Bacterial tmRNA, also known as 10Sa RNA or SsrA, is named for its dual tRNA and mRNA-like properties. Its role is to liberate the mRNA from a stalled ribosome. To accomplish this part of the tmRNA is used as a reading frame that ends in a translation stop signal.
Source: RNAcentral